This 90-nucleotide transfer RNA is filed under the name Planctomycetota bacterium. RNAcentral's name for it is "Planctomycetes bacterium tRNA-Ser". It matches the Rfam family "tRNA". Rfam says of the family: Transfer RNA (tRNA) molecules are approximately 80 nucleotides in length. Their secondary structure includes four short double-helical elements and three loops (D, anti-codon, and T loops). Further hydrogen bonds mediate the characteristic L-shaped molecular structure. tRNAs have two regions of fundamental functional importance: the anti-codon, which is responsible for specific mRNA codon recognition, and the 3' end, to which the tRNAs corresponding amino acid is attached (by aminoacyl-tRNA synthetases). tRNAs cope with the degeneracy of the genetic code in two manners: having more than one tRNA (with a specific anti-codon) for a particular amino acid; and 'wobble' base-pairing, i.e. permitting non-standard base-pairing at the 3rd anti-codon position. Lineage: Bacteria; Pseudomonadati; Planctomycetota. The record is from RNAcentral.
GGAGAGAUGCCAGAGUGGCCGAAUGGGCUGGUUUCGAAAACCAGUAUGGUCGCAAGGCCAUCCAGGGUUCGAAUCCCUGUCUCUCCGCCA